This 845-nucleotide ribosomal RNA is filed under the name Streptomyces sp. RNAcentral describes it as "bacterial SSU rRNA". It matches the Rfam family "Bacterial small subunit ribosomal RNA", at positions 94 to 954 of the family's 1533-position model. The record is from RNAcentral. Lineage: Bacteria; Bacillati; Actinomycetota; Actinomycetes; Kitasatosporales; Streptomycetaceae.
AGUGGCGACGGGUGAGUAACACGUGGGCAAUCUGCCCUGCACUCUGGGACAAGCCCUGGAAACGGGGUCUAAUACCGGAUACUGACCCUCACGGGCAUCUGUGAGGUUCGAAAGCUCCGGCGGUGCAGGAUGAGCCCGCGGCCUAUCAGCUUGUUGGUGAGGUAAUGGCUCACCAAGGCGACGACGGGUAGCCGGCCUGAGAGGGCGACCGGCCACACUGGGACUGAGACACGGCCCAGACUCCUACGGGAGGCAGCAGUGGGGAAUAUUGCACAAUGGGCGAAAGCCUGAUGCAGCGACGCCGCGUGAGGGAUGACGGCCUUCGGGUUGUAAACCUCUUUCAGCAGGGAAGAAGCGAAAGUGACGGUACCUGCAGAAGAAGCGCCGGCUAACUACGUGCCAGCAGCCGCGGUAAUACGUAGGGCGCGAGCGUUGUCCGGAAUUAUUGGGCGUAAAGAGCUCGUAGGCGGCUUGUCACGUCGGUUGUGAAAGCCCGGGGCUUAACCCCGGGUCUGCAGUCGAUACGGGCAGGCUAGAGUUCGGUAGGGGAGAUCGGAAUUCCUGGUGUAGCGGUGAAAUGCGCAGAUAUCAGGAGGAACACCGGUGGCGAAGGCGGAUCUCUGGGCCGAUACUGACGCUGAGGAGCGAAAGCGUGGGGAGCGAACAGGAUUAGAUACCCUGGUAGUCCACGCCGUAAACGGUGGGCACUAGUGUGGGCAACAUUCCACGUUGUCCGUGCCGCAGCUAACGCAUUAAGUGCCCCGCCUGGGGAGUACGGCCGCAAGGCUAAACUCAAGGAAUGACGGGGGCCCGCACAAGCGGCGGAGCAUGGUGGCUUAAUUUCG